UGAGAAGCAACAACAAAACCGCUUGGCAUCAAACAUCCUAUAGAGAAAAGUGUGAAUUAAUAGAAUUUAAUUUGAAAGUAGAUGCUUAGAAGGAGAUGACGACAUAUAAAAAAUAUACUGUAGUUCCUGGAAAAACUCUCGCAAUCACUUAUCAAUUCUAUUUGAAAUGUGAAAAUUUCACUCACCGAAUCGGAAUAGACAAAAAGGCCAAAAGAUGUGAACGUUAUCGCCGGCCCUGUUUAUAAUCAUAUUUAUACCGAUCGCUGUAGUUAUAAGGAACAUCAAUAUGAAGUAGACGAUAUGGGGACCAACGAGGCCGACAUAUAUGAAGACUAAAAACUUCUUGCGCUUAAAUAGUACAAACUAAAUCUUAGUUGAUCUGAAAUGUGAAUUGUAAUCGCAGUUAGUUCAUUGCCUUGCUACUUACAAACAAGCCAUAAAGGACUAAGGAGCAGGAUGCCAAAAAUAAGAUGACUUCAGGAACCACAAAACAUAUGAAUGAAUUGUAAUCGCCUAUUUUUGAAAAACUAUGUGUAUUUAGCAAAUUUAAAAUAGUCGUUAGUAAUAUGAUUUUCACCUCUAGUUCCUUUUCUAUCGCCACUAUCUGAAAGUAAAGCAAAAAGUCGUAUUAAA
Drosophila mojavensis is the source of this 633-nucleotide long non-coding RNA. RefSeq lists it as uncharacterized. The record is from RefSeq and is a predicted model, not a curated record. The transcript has 2 exons. NCBI's taxonomy places the organism in Eukaryota, Metazoa, Arthropoda, Insecta, Diptera, Drosophilidae.